GUCCGCGUGCUGGGCUUGUGCGACUGGCCGGACCAGCAACACAACAGCGCCGAGCCAGCAGUCACUGAACGGAAGGUUCUUUCGGGUCGUGACUUUCGAGGAAGAGCCUUUCGCCAUAAAGUCGACCUCCAACAACAAGACCACCUGGCGGGGCUUCUGCGUGGACUUCUUAGACGUUCUGGCCUACAAGCUGCAGUU
Molecule: long non-coding RNA, 198 nt
Organism: Branchiostoma floridae (Florida lancelet)
Lineage: Eukaryota; Metazoa; Chordata; Leptocardii; Amphioxiformes; Branchiostomatidae
Exons: 3
Source: RefSeq, a predicted model, not a curated record